GAGAGAGAGAGAGAGAGAGAGAGAGAGAGAGGGGGAAAUAAUUAACCUUACUUUUUUUAACCAUCGUAUAUAAACACCUCUUGUUUCUUAAACUCUUCUAUUCGAGAUUUUCAAUGUUUCAACCCGAGAGAGCGAAACGGGCUACCUGUCUUCUGGAUAACGGGGAGAAAAGAUAAUGGAAAAAACAAUG
This is a long non-coding RNA of Apis florea (little honeybee), 190 nucleotides long. The record is from RefSeq and is a predicted model, not a curated record. NCBI's taxonomy places the organism in Eukaryota, Metazoa, Arthropoda, Insecta, Hymenoptera, Apidae.